GAUGAACGCUGGCGGCGUGCCUAAUACAUGCAAGUCGAGCGAACAGACGAGGAGCUUGCUCCUCUGACGUUAGCGGCGGACGGGUGAGUAACACGUGGAUAACCUACCUAUAAGACUGGGAUAACUUCGGGAAACCGGAGCUAAUACCGGAUAAUAUAUUGAACCGCAUGGUUCAAUAGUGAAAGACGGUUUUGCUGUCACUUAUAGAUGGAUCCGCGCCGCAUUAGCUAGUUGGUAAGGUAACGGCUUACCAAGGCGACGAUGCGUAGCCGACCUGAGAGGGUGAUCGGCCACACUGGAACUGAGACACGGUCCAGACUCCUACGGGAGGCAGCAGUAGGGAAUCUUCCGCAAUGGGCGAAAGCCUGACGGAGCAACGCCGCGUGAGUGAUGAAGGUCUUCGGAUCGUAAAACUCUGUUAUUAGGAAAGAAAAAAUGUGUAAGUAACUAUGCACGUCUUGACGGUACCUAAUCAGAAAGCCACGGCUAACUACGUG
This 497-nucleotide ribosomal RNA is filed under the name uncultured bacterium. RNAcentral's name for it is "partial 16S ribosomal RNA". It matches the Rfam family "Bacterial small subunit ribosomal RNA", at positions 28 to 507 of the family's 1533-position model. The record is from RNAcentral.